GCAUUGGUGGUUCAGUGGUAGAAGUCGUCUGCCAUGCGGGAGACCCGGGUCUGAUUCCCGGCCAAUGCA
RNAcentral lists this transfer RNA (69 nucleotides) under Danio rerio (zebrafish). It matches the Rfam family "tRNA". Rfam says of the family: Transfer RNA (tRNA) molecules are approximately 80 nucleotides in length. Their secondary structure includes four short double-helical elements and three loops (D, anti-codon, and T loops). The record is from Rfam by way of RNAcentral. Lineage: Eukaryota; Metazoa; Chordata; Actinopteri; Cypriniformes; Danionidae.